RNAcentral lists this small nuclear RNA (117 nucleotides) under Corchorus capsularis. Its description in RNAcentral is "snRNA U5". It matches the Rfam family "U5 spliceosomal RNA". From Rfam's summary of the family: U5 RNA is a component of both types of known spliceosome. The precise function of this molecule is unknown, though it is known that the 5' loop is required for splice site selection and p220 binding, and that both the 3' stem-loop and the Sm site are important for Sm protein binding and cap methylation. Lineage: Eukaryota; Viridiplantae; Streptophyta; Magnoliopsida; Malvales; Malvaceae. The record is from Rfam by way of RNAcentral.
AGCCGUGCAGUGAGCACAGAGUGAACUAUUCUUUCGCCUUUUACUAAAGAAUACCGUGUGCUCGCCGCCUAAAGCGGCAUACGCCUAUUUUUGGGAGGGCCUUUUCUUAUUGGAUUU